UACGAAGGGGGCUAGCGUUGCUCGGAAUUACUGGGCGUAAAGCGCACGUAGGCGGUCUUUUAAGUCGGGGGUGAAAUCCUGGAGCUCAACUCCAGAACUGCCUUUGAUACUGGCUAUCUUGAGUUCGGGAGAGGUGAGUGGAAUGCCGAGUGUAGAGGUGAAAUUCGUAGAUAUUCGGCGGAACACCAGUGGCGAAGGCGACUCACUGGCCCGAUACUGACGCUGAGGCGCGAAAGCGUGGGGAGCAAACAGG
RNAcentral lists this ribosomal RNA (253 nucleotides) under uncultured bacterium. RNAcentral's name for it is "partial 16S ribosomal RNA". It matches the Rfam family "Bacterial small subunit ribosomal RNA", at positions 524 to 776 of the family's 1533-position model. The record is from RNAcentral.